Molecule: long non-coding RNA, 568 nt
Filed under: Linum usitatissimum (flax)
Lineage: Eukaryota; Viridiplantae; Streptophyta; Magnoliopsida; Malpighiales; Linaceae
Description: long non-coding RNA (LUSI_LNC001972)
Source: RNAcentral
UGUCUGCCACGUGGAUCAAUAAAGUUUCUGAGACGUACCUUUUCAAAGUCCCACGGUUUUUGGAUCUUUUCGAGAGCUCCAGAGCUUUCUUCACGGAGUACCCAAAAAAUUGUAAGAUAGCUUUCCCCAAUUCCAUGAAAGCUUCUAUCGACUUUUGGCUCAAAUAAAUAUUUGGAUCCCAUUCAUAAAUUAUAAACCGAAUUACGUUGAAUCAUGAAAAUAAAAUCAACAUUAGUGUUAAUACCAACAAAUCAAUUCAAUCGAUUGGUAGCAAAAACCUGUUUAAUAUCCCUUUAUUUACUAAACACGUAUCAAGAUUCAUAUAGAAGAGAUGAAGGCAAUCAACCAUUGCUAAUGGCCUCGUUUCAGGACCAUCUUACACAACAAAGAUGACUCGUGAUCAUGGGGCUAGAGAUGUUACGUGGCAACAGCGCGGGAUAGUCGGAAUGAUAUCGAGGUACAUCAUCAGCUACUUGAAACCGUAGGGAUCAUCUUCAUAUGGAUUGAGCCAGCCUUCUGAGAAGAGAUCUCCAAUGUUGGACGGACCCUGUUGGGUAGCUCCCAUGGC